CCUACGGGCGGCAGCAGUGAGGAAUAUUGGUCAAUGGACGCAAGUCUGAACCAGCCAUGCCGCGUGCAGGAAGACGGCUCUAUGAGUUGUAAACUGCUUUUGUACGAGGGUAAACGCAGAUACGCGUAUCUGUCUGAAAGUAUCGUACGCAUAAGGAUCGGCUAACUCCGUGCCAGCAGCCGCGGUAAUACGGAGGAUUCAAGCGUUAUCCGGAUUUAUUGGGUUUAAAGGGUGCGUAGGCGGUCGGAUAAGUUAGAGGUGAAAUCCCGAGGCUCAACUUCGGAAUUGCCUCUGAUACUGUUCGGCGAGAGAGUAGUUGCGGUAGGCGGAAUGUAUGGUGUAGCGGUGAAAUGCUUAGAGAUCAUACAGAACACCGAUUGCGAAGGCAGCUUACCAAGCUACUUCUGACGUUGAGGCACGAAAGCGUGGGGAGCAAACAGGAUUAGAUACCCGAGUAGUC
Molecule: ribosomal RNA, 460 nt
Filed under: uncultured bacterium
Lineage: Bacteria
Description: partial 16S ribosomal RNA
Rfam family: Bacterial small subunit ribosomal RNA
Source: RNAcentral